GCGAUAAAAAAGUAGUUGUGCCGAGAUAAACUGCUUGAGCCAUCUUGAAUGGUUAUAAAGAGUUUACAGAUAUCGAUCCUCUUUAAUCAUUGACCAAUUACGCUGAUAGGAGGAAUUAAACCAGGGAACCUAUCAAGCCUUGGUGCCUUUUCUUUUAACAAACUUAUCACUGGGGCUUUGAUUUCCUCCUUCAAGAAAGUUCUUUCAAAGUUUGAUAAGUCACUUGGCUCGUCGUUAUACAAGUUUCCCCAAUCCAACUCAAUCUUCGUUUGAAUGCUUGGAUCACCAAAGAGCUCAAAAAUGUAAUUGAUUAAUGAUUUCUUGAUUGCUGCAAGGCCAUCCAUUAACUGUCCAUGAUGUUCUAUUUGGCUAAUUUGAUCUUUCUUUCUUUGAGCACUUGCUUGUAUAUGAAAAAACCUAGUAUUCCAUUCCCUAUGCUUCAACAAUUGUAUCCUUGAAUGCUAUCUCCAUAGAAUUCUUGGCUUAGUAUAGAUUCUAAUGCCUUUGAGCUAAGUUCUCUUCACUUGUUCAUCAGCCUAUUAGGCUCCUUACUUCUUCUUGUUCAUCUAGUCAAAUUAUGCUCUUCCUAGUUUAACUUUUCUUCACCAUAAUGUUCCCAUUUCAAUUUUUGUUCCAAACUAUCAUUUUGGAUUUGAGGUAUCGAAGCUUCAAAGCCAUGUUUGUUGUUCCACGAUUCUCUAACUAUUCUGGAAUAUUGAUGCAAAAGUUUAGGAGUUAUGUGUCAUGCUCUCUUGUGUUGAAUGAGUCAAGCAUAGGUGUCCCAUGUUCCUUAUUUUACUCUGUUCUGUUACAACUGUUUCAGCAUGUUGGUUCUAAAAACAUUACAGGUCUUGUAAUGCCUAUAAAAUGGCAAUGUUCAGAGAAUGAAGUAGUCUUCUUUGAGUUCAUUUUUGUGAUAGAGAGUUCCUCUUAUUGUCUUCUCUGAUUUCAGCUCUGUAAUAAUGCUUUGGAGAGUGAAAUAGCCAACAAGUUUAUUGGUAUUAGAGCCAAGUUAUGUUCGUGGCAUGAGAAGAAAAUUUUGCUGGUGUGUUUCUGCAGCAGUAGAAGGUGAUUUAAAGUUACAGGCUGAAGUGCAAGUAAGCAUAUAGAAGUGAACUGGAAAGAUAAAUUCUGUGCUCUACAGUUAUUUGACAAAAGUUCUCUAAGAGGUUUGUCAUGGCAGCAGCCAAUGUUAAUAGUCUGGACCUUUCUUGAUCCUUGAUUCCUAUUUUUAAUGGUGAAUGUUAUGAGUUUUGGGAAACUAAAAUGAGGACUCUCUUCUUAUCUCAAGACUUAUGGGAUCUUAUUGAGAAUGGCUAUGAAGAACCAGGUGAAGGGGCUCAUCUUUCUUCACAACAGAGAAAUGAAUUGAAGGAGAAUUGGAAGAAGGACUCAAAGGCACUGUUGCUGAUACAGCAGGCAGUUCAUGAAUCCAUAUUUCCAAGGAUAGCAGAACCUGCAAAAUCCAAAGAGGCAUGGACCAUUUCAAAGAAUGAAUACCAAGGAUCAAACAAGGCGAUUACUAUUAAACUUCAAAGUCUUCGUCGUGAUUUUGAGACUUUGUUAAUGAAGAAUUCAGAAUCUGUGCAAGAGUUUUUCCCUAGAGUUUUCACUAUUGUUAACCAAAUUCGAGCUCUAGGAGAAAACUUGUCUGAUCAGAGGGUAGUUGCAAAAGUAUUGAGAAGUUUACCAUCUAAGUUUGACUAUAUUGUUGCUGCUAUUGAGGAGUCUAAAGAUUUAAGUACUUAUUCUCUUAAUGAACUGAUGGGAUCUAUGCUAGCACAUGAACAGUGACUUAACAAGUUACAGAAGAAGAAUAUUAAGCAAGCUUUUCAAGCAAAGCUGGAGGUUUUCUCAGAAAAGGUUGAACAAAUGACUAGCAAACCUACAACUAAGGGUCGAGGGAGAGGUGGAUAUGAUGGUUGAGGCCUUGGUAGGGGUCGAGGUCGUGGUCAAGGAAGAUUUGAUGCAUAUCAAGAUAACUCUACUAAGCAAGGAGGUAAUCGUUACUCACAUGUUCAAUACCAUUUUUGCAAAAAGAAUGGGCAUACUGAAAAGUUUUGUUGGGAAAAAGUAAGACAUCAAGCUAAUUUUAUUCAAGAAAAGAAAGAGGAAAGUAAUUUGUUUUUCACUAAUCCUAAUGGAGAACAAAGCAAUGCUGAUGUUUGGUUUCUAAACAGCAGUUGCAGCAACCACAUGUCUGAUGUGAAGGAAAUUUUUCAAAAAAUUGAUGAUUGUAUAAAAUUGCAGUUGUGCCUUGGUAACAACAAGCAAGUUCAAGUUGAAGAUAAAGGUAUGAUUAUGAUUAACACUAAAUCAGGAAAAGAGAAGUUCAUUCAUGAUAUGUUAUACAUUCCUGGUUUAGUGCAUAAUUUGAUUAGUGUUGGACAGCUAGUACAAAAAGGGUAUUCAAUUUCAUUUCGUCACAAUAAGUGUGUCAUUAGCAGUAAAAAUUUUGAUGUGCCUCUUAUGGAAGUUUGGAUGACUGCAAACAAGAUGUUUCCUUUUAAAGUGUCGGGAGUAGAUUAUGCUUUGAUUGCUAACAUGAAAACAGAUUCAUGGCUGUGGCAUAGGCUCUAUGGGCACUUAAAUUUUCUUGGUCUUAAGUUACUACAUGAGAAGAAAAUAGUGGAAGGGUUACCUUCAAUUGAAUAUGAAGAUGGAGUGUGUGAAGGAUGCAUCUAUGGGAAGCAUCAGCGAGCAUAAUUUCCAGUUGGAAAGUCAUGGAGAUCAAAGAAACCUCCACAGAUAAUACACGCUGAUAUUUGUGGACCAAUGCAAACACCAUCAUUGAACAAUAGUAAGUACUUUCUUUUGUUCAUUGAUGACUAUAGUAGAAUAUGCUGGGUAUAUUUUCUAAAGCAGAAAUCUAAGACUUUCUUUAAGUUUUUAGUUUUUAAAGCUUUUGUUGAGAAACAAUGUGGCUAUCUUAUUCAUAUUCUUCGGAUUGAUAGGGGAGGUAAAUUUUGUUCUAAUGAAUUUUGUGAGUAUUAUCAGUUAAAUGGAAUUAAAAGGCAGCUCACAGCAAGUUACACAUUGGAGCAAAAUGGUGUAGCAGAGUGGAAAAAUAGGACAAUUGUCAAAAUGGCCAGAAGCAUGCUAAGAGCAAAAAAUCUACCUAACUCCUUUUGGGCUGAAGCAAUAGCCACUGCCAUCCAUCUUCUUAAUAUAUCUCCUACAAAAGCAGUUUGGGAUCAGACUCCAUAUGAAGCUUGGUGUGGUGUGAAACCCAAGGUAUGUGGUUUAAGAGUAUUCGGUUCAAUAGUAUACGCACAUAGCUCUAAAAAGCAUCAAAAGUUGGAUAGCAAAAGUAUCAAAUGCAUAUUUGUUGGCUAUAGUGAUGUAACUAAAGGUUAUAGAGUGUAUGAUCCUGUUACUCGCCAGUUGCAUAUAAACAGGGAUGUCAUUUUUGAUGAAGAUGCAUGUUGGAAUUGGAAUGAGAAUGAGCAGGUGAGAACUAUGGUAGGCUUGAAAUUUUCUCAACAACCUAGAGUGCAAAAUCUGGAGAAUUCUUCAAGCUCUUCAUCAAAUAGUUCACAAAGCAGUACACCAUUAAGCAAAGAUUCUGAUAGAUCAAAUGAUCUAGCUUCUCAAGUGAUGGUGCAACAAGAAAGGUGAGGUCAUUAAUAGACAUUUACAAUUUCUGCAACUUUGCUCUCUUUGCUGCAGAACCAUCAUGUUUUGAGGAAGCUAAUAGAAAAGGAAGAAUGAAAAUAAUCUAUGGAGGAGGAAAUUUCAGCAAUAGAAAGAAACCAAACCUGAAAACUAGUUGACUUACCUGAAGGAAAAGAAGCUAUAGGCCUUGAAUCUUCCGAACAAAGUUCAAUGCUGAUGGAAGUGUGCAGAAACAUAAAGCAAGACUUGUUGUAAAAGUGUAUGCUCAACAGUCAGUUAGUAUGGUAUCAAGAUUCAUGCAAAAGCCAACGAAGCAGCAUGCUGGUGCAGCAAAAAGAAUCCUAUGCUAUGUUCGUGGAACUAGUGAUUAUGAGCAAUCAUUUGGACCUCAAAGAAGCAAACUAUCGUUGCAUUGUCAUCAUCUGAGGCUGAAUAUAUAGUAGCAGCUUCUUCAGCUUGUCAAGCUAUUUGGGUGCGACAAAUACUUGAAGAUCUUCACCAGCCUCAAUAGGAAGCCAUCAAGAUCUUUUGCGACAACAUGGGAGCUAUCUUAAUGGCAAAAAAUCCUUGUCAUCAUGGACAGGCAAAGCACAGAUAUACGCCAUCACUUCCUACGAGAAGCUAUUAAUAAAGGGAUGAUUGAGAUGAAGAGUUAUCCAACAAGUGAACAAACAGCAAACAUCCUGACAAAGGCUCUCCCUCCAGCAAAAGUUUUAUAUUUUAGAAAGCAUCUUGGUGUAUGUGAUUUUGCAUCAAAGGGGGGGUGUUGAAUAUUGAUGCAAAAGUUUAGGAGUUACGUGUCAUGCUCUCUUGUGUUGAAUGAGUCAAGCAUUGGUGUCCCAUCUUUCUUAUUUUGCUCUAUUCUGUUUCAACUGUUUCAGCAUGUUGGAUCCAAAAACGUUACCGGUCUUGUAAUGCCGAUAAAAUAGCA
Elaeis guineensis (African oil palm) is the source of this 4546-nucleotide non-coding RNA. NCBI's taxonomy places the organism in Eukaryota, Viridiplantae, Streptophyta, Magnoliopsida, Arecales, Arecaceae. The record is from RefSeq and is a predicted model, not a curated record.